UGUGGUGUAGCUCAGAGGUAGAGUACUUGCCUAGGGUGCUGAAGGCCCUGGGUUUGAUCCCUAGCCCCACAA
RNAcentral lists this transfer RNA (72 nucleotides) under Urocitellus parryii (Arctic ground squirrel). Its description in RNAcentral is "Spermophilus parryii (Arctic ground squirrel) tRNA". It matches the Rfam family "tRNA". From Rfam's summary of the family: Transfer RNA (tRNA) molecules are approximately 80 nucleotides in length. Their secondary structure includes four short double-helical elements and three loops (D, anti-codon, and T loops). Further hydrogen bonds mediate the characteristic L-shaped molecular structure. tRNAs have two regions of fundamental functional importance: the anti-codon, which is responsible for specific mRNA codon recognition, and the 3' end, to which the tRNAs corresponding amino acid is attached (by aminoacyl-tRNA synthetases). tRNAs cope with the degeneracy of the genetic code in two manners: having more than one tRNA (with a specific anti-codon) for a particular amino acid; and 'wobble' base-pairing, i.e. permitting non-standard base-pairing at the 3rd anti-codon position. The record is from Rfam by way of RNAcentral. Lineage: Eukaryota; Metazoa; Chordata; Mammalia; Rodentia; Sciuridae. RNAcentral also lists the same sequence under 1 other name.